AAAGUCGUAACAAGGUUUCCGUAGGUGAACCUGCGGAAGGAUCAUUAACAAAUUCCAAAACUCGUGUUUGACCAGUAGAGUUUCAGUAAUGAGGAUUUAUUGGUCAGUUUACAACACAAACACACAUUACAUUUUACACAUUUGACAACUAAUGGAGAACCUUUAUCGUUAAUCGAAAACAACUUUUAACAAUGGAUCUCUCGGCUCUU
This 209-nucleotide unclassified non-coding RNA is filed under the name Basidiomycota sp. Its description in RNAcentral is "partial contains small subunit ribosomal RNA, internal transcribed spacer 1, and 5.8S ribosomal RNA". The stretch from base 1 to 47 matches the Rfam family "Eukaryotic small subunit ribosomal RNA", at positions 1785 to 1831 of the family's 1831-position model. The record is from RNAcentral. Lineage: Eukaryota; Fungi; Basidiomycota.